RNAcentral lists this ribosomal RNA (464 nucleotides) under uncultured bacterium. RNAcentral describes it as "partial 16S ribosomal RNA". It matches the Rfam family "Bacterial small subunit ribosomal RNA", at positions 339 to 795 of the family's 1533-position model. The record is from RNAcentral.
CUACGGGGGGCUCCAGUGGGGAAUAUUGGACAAUGGGGGAAACCCUGAUCCAGCAAUGCCGCGUGUGUGAAGAAGGCCUGCGGGUUGUAAAGCACUUUCGGUUGGGAGGACUGCUUCUAGCACUAAUAUUGUUGGAAGUUGACGUUACCUUCAGAAGAAGCACCGGCUAACUCCGUGCCAGCAGCCGCGGUAAUACGGAGGGUGCAAGCGUAAUCGGAAUUACUGGGCGUAAAGCGCGCGUAGGCGGCUAGAUCAGUCGGGUGUGAAAGCCCCGGGCUUAACCUGGGAACUGCAUCCGAUACUGUCUAGCUUGAGUACAGGAGAGGAGAGUGGAAUUCCGCAUGUAGCGGUGAAAUGCGUAGAUAUGUGGAGGAACACCAAUGGCGAAGGCAGCUCUCUGGCCUGAUACUGACGCUGAGGUGCGAAAGCGUGGGGAGCAAACAGGAUUAGAUACCCCAGUAGUC